UCGGGAAUUUUGGGCAAUGGGCGAAAGCCUGACCCAGCAACGCCGCGUGAGGGAUGAAGGCCCUCGGGUCGUAAACCUCUGUCGGGAGGGAAGAACGAUCGCAAGGUGAAUAAUCUUGGGGUCUGACGGUACCUCCAAAGGAAGCGCCGGCUAACUCCGUGCCAGCAGCCGCGGUAAUACGGAGGGCGCAAGCGUUGUUCGGAAUCAUUGGGCGUAAAGCGCGUGUAGGCGGCUUGGCAAGUCGGGUGUGAAAUCCCGGGGCUCAACCCCGGAACUGCAUUCGAUACUGCCUCGCUAGAGUCCCGGAGAGGAGGGCGGAAUUCCCGGUGUAGAGGUGAAAUUCGUAGAUAUCGGGAGGAACACCAGUGGCGAAGGCGGCCCUCUGGACGGUGACUGACGCUGAGAUGCGAAAGCGUGGGGAGCAAACAGGAUUAGAUACCCUGGUAGUCCACGCUGUAAACGUUGGGUGCUAGGUGUCGCGGGUAUUGACCCCUGCGGUGCCGACGCUAACGCAUUUACG
This 520-nucleotide ribosomal RNA is filed under the name uncultured Pseudomonadota bacterium. RNAcentral's name for it is "bacterial SSU rRNA". It matches the Rfam family "Bacterial small subunit ribosomal RNA", at positions 355 to 864 of the family's 1533-position model. Lineage: Bacteria; Pseudomonadati; Pseudomonadota. The record is from RNAcentral.